GUGCAAUUGGUUGUGCAAUGAACACCUUUUUUAUGUUUUGCAGUGUUGUGCAUCCUGUACCACAGAACUGGGACAUAAGUUAGUUGCCAGAUUGGACCCUUGUAUGGGGAUACAUACUGAUUUGAUACAGGCAGUUUCCAAGCUCAUCCUGUGGUGUGGUAGGGGAUGCAAACCAUGCUGAUCCAGCUAAAAUGCUUGACCACUGAUGACACCAUUACAUCUUGAACAAUGCUGGUGGGAUUCGUCAUUUGCUCUUUGCAACCCAUCUCCAAUAAACCUAAAUGGCUUUGACAUGACGAUGCUACAGCCAACCAUGGAAGGCAGUACAAGUGAGGACAUGAAGCCAAGAAAGAACGCUAGAAGAGGUAA
Alosa sapidissima (American shad) is the source of this 369-nucleotide long non-coding RNA. RefSeq lists it as uncharacterized. NCBI's taxonomy places the organism in Eukaryota, Metazoa, Chordata, Actinopteri, Clupeiformes, Clupeidae. The record is from RefSeq and is a predicted model, not a curated record. The transcript has 3 exons.